UACGAAGGGGGCUAGCGUUGCUCGGAAUCACUGGGCGUAAAGGGUGCGUAGGCGGUUUUUUAAGUCAGGGGUGAAAUCCUGGAGCUCAACUCCAGAACUGCCUUUGAUACUGAAGAUCUUGAGUUCGGGAGAGGUGAGUGGAACUGCGAGUGUAGAGGUGAAAUUCGUAGAUAUUCGCAAGAACACCAGUGGCGAAGGCGGCUCACUGGCCCGAUACUGACGCUGAGGCACGAAAGCGUGGGGAGCAAACAGG
Molecule: ribosomal RNA, 253 nt
Filed under: uncultured bacterium
Lineage: Bacteria
Description: partial 16S ribosomal RNA
Rfam family: Bacterial small subunit ribosomal RNA
Source: RNAcentral